Molecule: transfer RNA, 72 nt
Filed under: Camelus bactrianus (Bactrian camel)
Lineage: Eukaryota; Metazoa; Chordata; Mammalia; Artiodactyla; Camelidae
Also listed under: 3 other names
Rfam family: tRNA
About the family: Transfer RNA (tRNA) molecules are approximately 80 nucleotides in length. Their secondary structure includes four short double-helical elements and three loops (D, anti-codon, and T loops). Further hydrogen bonds mediate the characteristic L-shaped molecular structure. tRNAs have two regions of fundamental functional importance: the anti-codon, which is responsible for specific mRNA codon recognition, and the 3' end, to which the tRNAs corresponding amino acid is attached (by aminoacyl-tRNA synthetases). tRNAs cope with the degeneracy of the genetic code in two manners: having more than one tRNA (with a specific anti-codon) for a particular amino acid; and 'wobble' base-pairing, i.e. permitting non-standard base-pairing at the 3rd anti-codon position.
Source: Rfam by way of RNAcentral
GAGGGUAUAGCUCAGUGGUAGAGUGCAUGCCUAGCAUGCAUGAGGUCGUGGGUUCAAUCCCCAGCACCUCCA